GUCGCAAGGAUGCAACUCAAAGGAAUUGACGGGGGCCCGCACAAGCGGUGGAGUAUGUGGUUUAAUUCGAAGCAACGCGCAGAACCUUACCUGGGCUUAACAUCCCCUGACACCUACAGAGAUGUAGGGUUCCCUUCGGGGACAGGGUGAUAGGUGCUGCAUGGCUGUCGUCAGCUCGUGUCGUAAGAUGUUGGGUUAAGUCCCGCAACGAGCGCAACCCUUGUCCUUAGUUGCUACCAUUAAGUUGGGCACUCUGAGGAGACUGCCGGUGUUAAACCGGAGGAAGGCGGGGAUGACGUCAAGUCCGCAUGGCCCUUACGUCCAGGGCUACACACGUACUACAAUGGCAGGGACAAAGGGUCGCGAAGCCGCGAGGUGGAGCCAAUCCCAAAAACACUGUCUCAGUCCGGAUUGAAGUCUGCAACUCGACUUCAUGAAGCUGGGAUCGCUAGUAAUCGCAGAUCAGCACGCUGCGGUGAAUACGUUCCCGGGCCUUGUACACACCGCCCGUCACACCACGAAAGUGGUCAUACCCAGAAGCAGGCGAGCUGACCGCAAGGGGGCAGCCUACCAAGGGUGUGGCCGUGAUUGGGGUGAAGUCGUAACAAGGUA
Molecule: ribosomal RNA, 612 nt
Filed under: uncultured Gammaproteobacteria bacterium
Lineage: Bacteria; Pseudomonadati; Pseudomonadota; Gammaproteobacteria
Description: bacterial SSU rRNA
Rfam family: Bacterial small subunit ribosomal RNA
Source: RNAcentral